Molecule: ribosomal RNA, 502 nt
Filed under: uncultured bacterium
Lineage: Bacteria
Description: bacterial SSU rRNA
Rfam family: Bacterial small subunit ribosomal RNA
Source: RNAcentral
GGCUCAGGAUGAACGCUGGCGGCGUGCCUAAUACAUGCAAGUCGAACGAAUCGGAUGGGAGCUUGCUCCUGAUGAUUAGUGGCGAACGGGUGAGUAACACGCAGGCAACCUGCCUCUGCGAUGGGGAUAACCGAGGGAAACUUUGGCUAAUACCGAAUGUGUGCUUCUUAGGGCAUCCUAAGGAGAGAAAAGAUUUAUCGCGCAGAGAUGGGCCUACGGUGUAUUAGCUAGUUGGUGAGAUAACAGCCCACCAAGGCAAUGAUACAUAGCCGACCUGAGAGGGUGAUCGGCCACAUUGGAACUGAGACACGGUCCAAACUCCUACGGGAGGCAGCAGUAAGGAAUUUUCGGCAAUGGGCGAAAGCCUGACCGAGCAACGCCGCGUGAGUGAUGAAGGUCUUCGGAUUGUAAAGCUCUGUUAUGAGGGAAGAAAAGGUAUAUUUAUAUACGUAUUGACGGUACCUCAUGAGAAAGCCAUGGCUAACUACGUGCCAGCCGCCGC